CCUACGGGAGGCAGCAGUGGGGGAUAUUGCACAAUGGGGGAAACCCUGAUGCAGCGACGCCGCGUGGGCGAAGAAGUAUUUCGGUAUGUAAAGCCCUAUCAGCAGGGAAGAAGAACUGACGGUACCUGAGUAAGAAGCACCGGCUAAAUACGUGCCAGCAGCCGCGGUAAUACGUAUGGUGCAAGCGUUAUCCGGAUUUACUGGGUGGAAAGGGAGCGCAGGCGGCACGGCAAGCCUGAUGUGAAAGCCCGCGGCCCAACCGCGGGACUGCAUUGGGAACUACCGGGCUGGAGUGCCGGAGAGGUAGGCGGAAUUCCUAGUGUAGCGGUGAAAUGCGUAGAUAUUAGGAGGAACACCAGUGGCGAAGGCGGCCUACUGGACGGUGACUGACGCUGAGGCUCGAAAGCGUGGGGAGCAAACAGGAUUAGAUACCCCAGUAGUC
This 442-nucleotide ribosomal RNA is filed under the name uncultured bacterium. RNAcentral's name for it is "partial 16S ribosomal RNA". It matches the Rfam family "Bacterial small subunit ribosomal RNA", at positions 338 to 795 of the family's 1533-position model. The record is from RNAcentral.